GCGAGCAUAGCUCAGCGGUAGAGCACAUGCCUAGCAUGCAGGAGGUCCUAGGUUCAAUCCCCGGUACCUCCA
This 72-nucleotide transfer RNA is filed under the name Camelus bactrianus (Bactrian camel). It matches the Rfam family "tRNA". Rfam says of the family: Transfer RNA (tRNA) molecules are approximately 80 nucleotides in length. Their secondary structure includes four short double-helical elements and three loops (D, anti-codon, and T loops). RNAcentral also lists the same sequence under 1 other name. The record is from Rfam by way of RNAcentral. Lineage: Eukaryota; Metazoa; Chordata; Mammalia; Artiodactyla; Camelidae.